ACUCCUCCUCAUCUUCCAAUGUGCACUGGAGACUCAAACCACACCAUGACCCUGUUAGCAGCAUAGGGACAUUCCAGAAUGGUCCUCUUCAGUGAUAAAGAGGGAAUGCAUCUGAGGACAAUCCUUGCUAGAGAAGUUGGGAAGAAAGAGUAAACUGAUCAUCAUAAAGUUCUGCUGUCUAGUUCUGCUGCCUUCAUCAACACUACGGCAUCUUUUCCAGAAUGCUAGCCUAUCCUUCA
This 239-nucleotide long non-coding RNA is filed under the name Pongo abelii (Sumatran orangutan). Its description in RNAcentral is "lincRNA". The record is from RNAcentral. Lineage: Eukaryota; Metazoa; Chordata; Mammalia; Primates; Hominidae.